RNAcentral lists this ribosomal RNA (460 nucleotides) under uncultured bacterium. RNAcentral describes it as "partial 16S ribosomal RNA". It matches the Rfam family "Bacterial small subunit ribosomal RNA", at positions 338 to 795 of the family's 1533-position model. The record is from RNAcentral.
CCUACGGGCGGCAGCAGUGAGGAAUAUUGGUCAAUGGGCGUAAGCCUGAACCAGCCAAGUCGCGUGAUGGAUGACGGUUCUAUGGAUCGUACACCUCUUUUAUCAGGGAAUAAAGUGUGGGACGUGUCCUAUUUUGUAUGUACCUUAUGAAUAAGGAUCGGCUAACUCCGCGCCAGCAGCCGCGGUAAUACGGAGGAUCCGAGCGUUAUCCGGAUUUAUUGGGUUUAAGGGGUGCGUCGGCGGCCUGUUAAGUCAGCUGUGAAAGUCUGUGGCUCAACCAUAGAAUUGCCGUUGAAACUGGGGGGCUUGAGUAUGGUUGAGGCAGGCGGAAUGCGUGGUGUAGCGGUGAAAUGCUUAGAUAUCACGCAGAACCCCGAUUGCGAAGGCAGCCUGCCAAGCCAUGACUGACGCUGAUGCACGAAAGCGUGGGGAUCAAACAGGAUUAGAUACCCUGGUAGUC